AUCUAUGUAUUCUAAAAUAAGAGCUGGAUUCUUACUUCAGUAAUGUGUUGUUUCACCAUAGGUU
This 64-nucleotide transfer RNA is filed under the name Taenia laticollis. RNAcentral describes it as "tRNA-Lys". Lineage: Eukaryota; Metazoa; Platyhelminthes; Cestoda; Cyclophyllidea; Taeniidae. The record is from RNAcentral.